Molecule: ribosomal RNA, 184 nt
Filed under: Symbiodinium sp. Amami3b
Lineage: Eukaryota; Dinophyceae; Suessiales; Symbiodiniaceae
Description: partial 18S ribosomal RNA
Rfam family: Eukaryotic small subunit ribosomal RNA
Source: RNAcentral
AUUACCCUCACUAAAGGGACUAGUCCUGCAGGUUUAAACGAAUUCGCCCUUCCGGUGAAUUAUUCGGACUGACGCAGUGCUCAGCUUCUGGACGUUGCGUCGGAAAGUUUCAUGAACCUUAUCACUUAGAGGAAGGAGAAGUCGUAACAAGGUUUCCGUAGGUGAACCUGCGGAAGGAUCAUUC